RNAcentral lists this ribosomal RNA (306 nucleotides) under Triticum aestivum (bread wheat). Its description in RNAcentral is "partial small subunit ribosomal RNA". Lineage: Eukaryota; Viridiplantae; Streptophyta; Magnoliopsida; Poales; Poaceae. The record is from RNAcentral.
AUGAAUUUAAAACUACAUUUGCCAUCCCUGGACAACUGUUGUUGCCAUCAGUGGACACUUGCAGUUGCCAUGGAGAAACAACUGCAGUUGCCAUGCCAGAGCAACUACAGUUGCCAUGUCAUCGCAACUGCAGUUGCCAUGGAGGAACAACUGCGGUUGCCAUGCCGAUGCAACUAUAGUUGCCAUGCCAGUAAAACUGCAGUUGCCACAUCAGGGGCGACUGCAGUUGCCGUGCUAGCACAAACUGCAAAUUGCCAUGAAUUGACCAACCACUACUAUGCUUACAGCGUAUUACGCUGGUGGUGA